Pseudoliparis swirei is the source of this 5602-nucleotide long non-coding RNA. RefSeq lists it as uncharacterized. The transcript has 3 exons. The record is from RefSeq and is a predicted model, not a curated record. NCBI's taxonomy places the organism in Eukaryota, Metazoa, Chordata, Actinopteri, Perciformes, Liparidae.
UGCACCAAUUAUAUGGAUGCCAACCGCCGUUAAAAAAGAAGAAGAAGAAGAGAGAAGCCCCGCUCCCUUUUACGCGCACGGCCCUAACGUGUGUGUGCGGAGCGAGCAAAGAUUUCACGGUCGUUGCGGCAAGGACAGCUUCUCAUUGUCUGAUGAAACAAACGUGAAUCUUCGGGCGUAGCUCCGCGAGCAAGUAGCUAACCGGAGCUGGUUAGCUGGAUGCUAGGAAACUCAAAUCAGGUUGAGGGAGCAGCAGCUGGACCAUCAGAGCUUCAGGUGAGGUGUUACAUUGAUUCUGUGUUGACAUUGUUAAUAUCGCCUACCUGUUUAAUGUGAAUUAUUAUUAUAAUAAUGUUAAAACAUGCAUGUGCAGGCUAGGCUACGUUUCCUUUGCUCUUUAGGGAACAGUCUGGCCACAGUGACCGUCAGCAACUUCAGCAUAAGAAGUUACUGUUUCAGGCAAAGUGGUGGAGUCGGUAUCCAUGGCUGCAUUAUUAUAUAGCACUCUUUGUUUUGAGUAGGAUAUACAAUAUAUACUGUGACUGUCUUUUGGCAUUUUAGCAGAACUUUUCUUAUUUGGUGCAGAAUACGGUUUUGUAUUUAAACUAAGGUUUGAUAACAGUAAUUUAGUUUAAAUCAGUUUAAAGAGACUGAGACUGUACUUCAAGCAACAUCAACGGUUUUCACUUGUUUUUUUUGAUUGAGAAAGUACUGGUAUUUUUCCAAAUAUGAUGUGACUCGGUAGUUUAAUUAUUUGUUGUGUCAGUCCUUGAAGUUCAGGCAGGUUGUGCCUUUAAAGCCCCCUGGCUUGCAUUUGCAUUACAUUGAUCUGGAAAACGAUAACUCAUAAAAACACCUUUAGUGGCCUUGCAGUGGAUGAACAGCCAGCAGCAACACGGCAUCGUUCUUUUGUUGCUAUUCUUUGGCGUGCUGGUGGCAGUAAUAACUUGUGGAACUAUGUGUGAUGAAGAGGAGGAGUUGCAAGCUGUUGGAUCUUCCACAAGGCAGCCUGGAGGAGAGGCUGUAGAGGGACAACGCUCUACUCCAGAAAUGCUGGAGAAGCCAGCGAGCCAAGAGAGCCAGCAGACGUGUGGCGAGCGGGGGCUGGCGGAGGCCUCCAGGAUCACUGGGAAGCUGGCGGUUGAAUAACGGCCAGAAAAACCUCCUUCUUUUUGUUAUUUCCUUCUAAAAUGUUUGUGACUAGUUCAUAUACACUGGGGUGGUAACACGCAGGCCGUCUACUAUAAUGAAGCACACCAUUCACUAGGAAGCAGAUGGCAGAAAAAUGUGUUGACACUGUCUAUAGUGCAUUAUUAACAUACUCGGUAUGUGUUUUAAUCUGCGUACAUGCAUUAUGAUGUGUAUGAUAUUCCUUUAUUUGUCCCACACUGGGGACAUUUCAAAAAUCACAGCAGCGGUGCACAUCAGAGCAUCAAUGAAAAUAAAUAUAAAACAAAAUACUAAUACUAAAUAUGCAGGGGGAAAAUAAAGUAAAGUGCUGAGUAAAGUAAAGUGCCGAGUUUGCCAGGAUCGCCAGCGAUCUACUGCAGUGUGUUGUGCAGCCUGACAGCAGCAGGAAGGAAGGACUUGUGCCACCUCUCCCUCAGACACCGGGGAGGAAUCAGCCGGUGGCUGAAGGAGCUGUGCAGAGCUGAGAGUGUCAUGCAUGGGGUGGGAGGCGUGGUUCAUCAGAGACGAGAGCUUUGCCAUCAUCCUCCCGUCCCCCACCACCUCCACAGUAUCCAGAGGACACCCAGCACGCUGCUGGCCUUCUUUAGCAGCUUGUUCAGCCUCUUCCUGUCAGCCGCUGCCAUGCUGCUGCUGCUGCUCCAGAAGACCACUCCAUUAAAAAAAAGCCUCUAUUUUUAGCAUCUUGGGCUCAAAUAUCCCUCUGGACACAGGUUCAAGUCUCAUCCACACAUCAAUGAUGAAUAGAUCAAGAAAAGUGUAUCCCACUAUGCUGCUUACUGAUUGUAACUAUAUUGUAGUGGCAGACAUAUUAUAUAAGCACUUGACUUAUUUAGGGCCUUAUUUAACCUAUUAUGUUACAGCGUUCUUACCUGUGAACAUUUUAUUUGCAAUUACUUCAAUUAAAUAAUAAUAGUGUUUCACUAUAAUGGAUCACAUAUUAAUGAGACAUGUAGACAUUAAUCCAUGAAAUAUAUUUAUUAACCACGACAUGGACAGUUAAUAUUCAACACAGAGCGCAUAGUGCACGGUCACACAAACACAAAUAUCUAAAACCAAUAUAACUAAUUUAAUAAAAAUGAGAAAAGUUAUAUACAUUCACAUAUACAUACAUACAUUUUUUCUAUUGAGAAUACAUCCACUGCCCUCCUAAUAAAAAUAAAUAUGGUUGAAAUUCAGUUUCUACUCACUAAUGCUGAAGUCUCGUCCACCACUUUGUCUGUUUGAUGGUUACCUGGAUCUGUCUGAGGCCCGCGGUUCAUACUGGGAUUCACGUCUGGUUUUACAGCUCAAUCUGCAGGAGGGCAUGGAGCAAACUGAAACAGCUUGAGUGGUGCUACUGAGGAUGACUGGGCAGUGGGCUUUGAGGAGGUGGAUUGGUCUUGGUCCUGUGCUGGUCCCAGUCCAGAGGAACUUGACGGCUGCAGGCCAAACCUCUCCGUCUCUACUAGAGAAAUGAAAAGCUGGACACUGGAUGUGUCCCAACACCUGUUCCGAGACUACCUCGAGCUGGGCCAUUAAUGCAGGAUCAGAGACAGCUGAAGUGAACACCAGGCUGCUUCAAGUCCACCAGGCUGCUUCAAGUCUGUGGUGGAAAUAAGUGUCCUUUACCUUGUGAGAAAUCAAAAGUAGUUUAAGCAUGGUUGACCCAUAACACUUUAUUAUAGUAACAAGUUUACAAGUCAUCAACCAAGCACUAAAUACAAACAAGUCAUGAAAACAUUCAGCUGAAUGGAGCAGAAUCCCUGAGCCUUCUCUCAAGACCGUCAGAAAUAACUGCUGCCUCCUCAGUGCAAGACUGCAACCUUUAUAGAUCUCAGAGACAAUCCACAUUCCCAAAGUCUGUCUGUUUCCUAUCAGAGGAAGUGAAGACCCCUGAAGGCUCUGUUUAUUCUGCACCCCCACAACCAAGUGACCAUUUGAGUGACCUUUCCGGUUUGGUCAUUACCUCAAGUCAUCGGUUUGUGACCUUUUCACAUGACCCCACACAGGAUUAGAUUACCCCCCAUAAACAUUUGGGAGAGAGAACUGUUAACACAUUUUCUCCCCCGACAAAGUCCACCAGGCUGCUUCAAGUCCACCUUGCCACCCGGUCAUCUCCUGAUCUUAUAGCAGCUCUGAGGAAACGUAUGUUGCAGUGACCCACAGUGGCUGGUGGAAGUAAUUACCCUCCUGCUGGGGUGUGCCUCUGAUGGGGAUCAUAUUUUGACAAUACACAGAAACGACUGUUAGUAAAGGACAUAUCUUUACUUCACCUGCUUUUAUCAGCCAAAUCCAAUGAAACUGACGGUUUCUCACAUCAUUAUAUAAAGAAUAUACUUCAUACAGAUGUGUUUAUGUUGUAUGUCUCUGCAGUACAUGGGGGACCGUGUCCAUGGUGCAGGAGGUGCUAUUGUAGUUUCUCCAUCGGGACAGUGGGCAGCCACCUUUACCACAGUGCGGAUGGCUUGGGCAGCAGUGGAUCAUGAUGGUCUGUGGUAUGGAUUAGAGCAGACAUGGGCAAACUAUGGCCCGCGGGCCACAUCCGGCCCGUUAGGCUUUGUAAUCCGGCCCGCCGAACUUGUCCAAAUCGCGACUUUGUUUACUUCCGGUGUGCGUUGGCGCGGAAAGUACUCGUCACACAAAACCCUUCACCAUGAUUUGUCAAUCCGUUUGUCUGUCAACAUUUUGCGGAAAAACCCCCCCAAUGAACACUCAGUAAAUCACAAGGGACCCGCCCACCACACAGGUGAAGCUCAUUUAGAAACAGCUGCAGUGUUUUUGGCGAGCAGCGCGGAACCUGGAGGGGCUACAGAGCCACGAGGAGGAACACGCAGCCAGAAGAGGUCCACUUGGACCGGGUAAGAGUCUUUACUACACGUUACGUGUCACGGUGUCCGUAACUUGUGCGCGGUGCUGACUAGUCUUGUAUUUUACAGAGAGGAUUCACCAGCGCCUACAGCGCAGCCUGCCCGGCCAGCAGAGAGGUCUCGUGACACGAUGACAUGAUGUUAUUAUAGUGAAGCCAUAUUGUAAAUAGUCAAUAGUUGUGUUCUGUUUUCUAUUUCACAACAUGUAUAUAAUGUAGUUUUUAUUUAUUUAUGUACAAUACAUAUUUAUAAAAAAAAUAAAAUAAUGGUCAUUUUUUAUUUGCACACACCCCAUGAAACUAUCUGCAAUAUGAAGUCAUUUGUCAGUCCCAUCUUUAUCAUUUUGGUUUAUGUGUGACAGACCACAUCAUUUUUACAAAAAAAACGUCAAUACAAAAUGUGGUUUUCCUCAUUUAUUCAAUUCAGUUUAUUUGUAGAGCCCAAUUUCACAAAUUACAAAUUUGUCUCGGAGUGCUUUACAAUCUGUGCAUAUAGACAUCCCUGACCUUUGACCUCACAUCGGAUCAGGAACAACAGAGGAGGAUCCCUCUCCAGGAUGGACAGCUGCAAUUACAUGUAUCUAGCAUUGUAUUCAGAUAUUUCACUGCUUUUGAGAACCUAUGACCUUUGGUAAACCAAUUUCAAACACCAAAACAGUUCGUCCACAUGAGUAAAGGUGUGUUUUCAGAAGAGAUAUGAAUAAUUUUUAAAAAUCGAACUACAAUUGUCAGCUUUAGGGUCAUAUUUUCUCGAGUAAAGCGCUGUCAGUCUGUUUGUGACGGGUUCAUACACAUGCUGACCAGAUGACGCCACACAUCGCCCUGACUUUAAAGACCCCUUUCUAGUUUCUGCUGCAGGCCGGAUAUUUAAUACAGUAUCUCUCAGGACAAUCCGUCCAUUAUUUUGCGGGGUUUAAAACAAUUAGAAAUUAUUGAGCUUGAGUAUUUCGUUGGGUAAUUCAAUUCAAUUCAAUUCAGUUUAUUUGUAUAGCCCAAUUUCACAAAUUACAAAUUUGUCUCGGAGUGCUUUACAAUCUGUACACAUAGACAUCCCUGCCCCAAAACCUCACAUCGGACCAGGAAAAACUCCCAAAUAACCCUUCAGGGGAAAAAAAAAGGGAAGAAACCUUCAGGAGAGCAACAGAGGAGGAUCCCUCUCCAUGGACAGAUGCAAUAAUAAUAAUUUGUUUUGAAUGUUGAAAGUGAUUCCAUUGAUCUCUUUCCAGUAAAUGUUGAUUACUUUAACUUUGCACCUUAAAUUGAAAUGUAUAAAAAACAGACGCAAUCUCCAGGUUUAAUAAAUUACAUUGCGUGUCCAAAUGCUCCUGGCCCGGCCCCUCUGUCAGAUUUCAGAACCGAAUGUGGCCCGCAGGUCAAAAAGUUUGCCCACCCCUGGAUUAGAGCCAAAUGAAAGGCUAAAAUAGCAGUUAUCCAAAUUUCAGCAGUUUUAUUCCUCAAAUAUUCCAUCAUAGAGGAAAUGGUAUUUCUUGUUGGUACGUCUCAAGAGCUGUGAUUGAGCAGUUAGUCCAUUUAACAUGAAAUGUUAAUCAGCUCAGAUUUGUAAAA